Lagopus leucura (white-tailed ptarmigan) is the source of this 4482-nucleotide long non-coding RNA. RefSeq lists it as uncharacterized. The record is from RefSeq and is a predicted model, not a curated record. Lineage: Eukaryota; Metazoa; Chordata; Aves; Galliformes; Phasianidae. The transcript has 6 exons.
GUGCCAAUCAAAAAGAGUAAUGGAACAGGGAAUGGAAAGCUGGCUUCUUCAGCCUGUUACUGCGCACAGUCUGAGCAACUUGCACAAGCCAAGGGAAACAUUUCUCUUCUGAAGAGGAGCCAGGCUUCCAGAAAUACCUCCUCUCUCCUUUUCUCCUUGUGUGCAAUGCUGGGACCCUCCUGUGCGUCCCGCCUGUGGUGGCAGCCUGUGGUGGCAGCCUGUUGCUUACUACAGUGCAAGCAGUGGGAAGAAGUGUGGCCGAAUGUAACCCGGAAAGGAUAUAGAUGCUUCUUCUGUGGAAUACAGCAGUCAGUGAUUGGUUACAGCAUGGCUUCUCUUGCACAUUGCUUGGAUUUCAGCAUUUGCAUAUGAAAGAUGGGCAGAAAAGGGUGCUGUGAAGCUGCAAUCAGACUGUGCUGUGGUAAAGAAGAGAAAGCAGCAGCUGUGUUCUGACAUUGGCCUUGUACUUCACUAUGGGAUCUUAGUCAAGGCCUCCUUUCAUGAGUAACUGAGCUGUGUUACAGCCGUGCGAACCCAGGGGCAGUGUGAGGACCCAGCCUUGUGUGCACAUCUGGUGCUGCUUUACUCACGUUCUCCCACUCAGAAAGUCUGAUGAUAAAGACCUUAGGAAAGGAGUACAUCUCAGUGCUAGAGAAACCAGCCUGGAUUCUGUUAAUGAACCAUUUUCUCUGCGAGGUAACUGCAGUGUUAGCAAGGAGGUAGAUUUGAACUGCCCUGUUUCCUUGUUAAGGCUACCAGAGUAUUAGGCCAACUACCAGCAGGCUGGAAUAGAUCUGAACCAAUAAUAUUCAUGGGGAAUUGGUGAUGUUUUCAUCCUAGCCCCAUAUUUGAUAAAACAGCAGCAGCAUGUGUAAUGACAAAGCAGUUACCACCAAGCAUGGAUUGGAGUGCAAAGCUCUGCUCCCAGUCUGUUUUUUCAGACAAGACGACUCGGUGAUCCUUGUUUAUAGCAACUAUACUUUUAAGAAUGGAAGUGUGGGGAGUAAGGCCAUCACUUUGCAAGACACAUUUUUAUGGAGUUGAUCCAAGAUCCUGGGGACCAAGUCUUCAGUUGAGGCAGCAAGGGAGACAGAUACUUGAUCUGCUCCCCUCACCUGUGAUGUGCUGCAGCCUGCUACCUGGCAAGGAAUAUCUACAGGAAUAAAACUUACAGAAUUAUGUUAUGUUAUGGGUAGGAAUACCAUCAGCUCCAGACUGAUUCCUGCAGUUCACUCUGGCAGUAAGGAAGAUGUUUCAAGAGUCCAGCUCUAAUUGUUCUUGAUUUUCACUGAGUCUUAACAUAAGCUGUUGUUCAUAAUAAAGGCUCUUUGCAUAGUUUAUUUCUUGACAUAGCUUCACUGCAAGAACUUCAGAUUUCACAUUGACCUGCAGAAAGAAGUGUGGAUGUUGUUAAUGAGGCACCAUUAUAUUUUUAUUUCACUGACUGAAGGAAUUUGCAUGGCUGUGCUUGAAGGAAUAGAAGUGCUUCAGUGGAAAUCUUCUCAGGGCUGAGGAUGAGGGAUGGAAGAAAUGAGAAAGACAGGUAAUAAGAGUUUCGGUGAUAGUGGGUGGGAACAGAAACAUCUUGCAAUAUCUGAAGUUAUUUCCUUUGCUUCCUCUCCUACCUUUCAUCUGGCUGCUCUGUUUGGAAUGUAAACUGACUUAGGUCAGGGGUGAGCUUGUAACCUUGUCUGUAAAACAGACCUGGAACAACUACUGUAAUGAAGCAAAAACCCACGACAUUGAGAGGUGAGAUACUGAGUAAUUUUUGCAUGUGUGACAUCAACAAUCAAUUUCCAAUCUUUGGAAGAUGCCAUGUAUGCAGGGAGAGCACUACAGUAAAUAGCACAGUGCUUAACUGCAUGUAUUGUGUAAUUAAGAUUAUUUCUCAGCUGAAGAAAUAUUUCCUAAUGUACCCUGUGCAUUCAGGAGUAUUUCAGAUUUUACCUUCAACUUUUCUCAGGAGAACAAGUUCUACUCAGCGCAACCUUUUUGGCAGCAGUUAUUUUCACUGCUGGCAGAAUGAAGUUUUCAUUAUUGAACAGUGCAAGAAAGCAAACACUGAUGAGUAGAAGUAUUUUGGCAUCAGUACGUGCAUGGAGGGGGAAAGAAACCCUGCAUGGAAGACCCAACAGGCACCAGUCCUUACCAUUGGUUUUUGUUGUGAUGGGCCUGGCAUUGCUACACCACUGCUUGUAUUAACAGCUUUCUUGGUCAGCUGCACGUACACUUUCCCAUGAUCUUUUGAAACAAGGCAGUGGUAGAGGUCAUCAUACUUCACUUCUAGGAAGAUGGCUUCGCGGUCGGUGUAGUCACCACUCUUGAGGAAAUAAACAGCUUUAGAUGAGAUCAGAACACAGUACUUCUCUAUGUUCUCCACUGCUAUGAAGCUGCGAAAGAGAAAAACCAAAAUGAAAAGAAGGAAAUGAAUCACUUGAUAAAAAUACUCAGCUGUAACAAAGGUCUCAACCUUGUACAUUUUCAAUGACCUUUGGAAGUCUUAAAGAAAACCAACAGCAUAACACGUACAAUCCAUUUGCAUUUAAAGUGUUCUAGAAACCCAGCUGGUGUGCACCCCUCAGCUCAAAAGACCAGGUUGUAAACCAAGUAUGAGCACUAAAUGCCUGGCUUCUAGCUUUGAUGUUAAAAGGCUGUAUAAAAAUAGUCUCUAACAAGACUUAGGAAGAUCAACUUCCUUGCAUUUAAACGCUGAGUGACUGAUUUGUGACUUCAGUCCUUACUGAUAGGUGAAAAAGUUUGCAGGUAAUGAUAAAAGCCUUUUUUUUUAACACAUAAACCUACUGUGCCUCCUUCUGCCACACACCUCCCCCGCCUUUAAAAACAAAAAACAAGUUUAACCUGCUGCCUGGAUCAGUAGCUAGAAAAGAGAAAUUAGCUGUUUAACUCUGGGGUGAAAGGUUAAGCAGCAAGCAGGUUUCCCCAGAGAGAUUAGUCCAAGUGAUGAAUAGGGGAGGUAGAAAAGAGUGAAUUAAGAAGAUGGAGAAUUACGAUGGCUGAAAAGGUUGAUGUGUAAAAGUUAGUAGGAAGGCAUGCAAAAGUGAAAUAGAUAAUGCACACACAACCACUCCUCAUUUGUGAUUUACUACUGAAAUGAACUCCAUUUGUGAUUUUCCUUUUUCAAAGAAAAAAAAAGCUGAAAUUUUCAGAAAAUUAUAUUUGGAGACACAAGAAAGAAAGAAAGAAUGCUGAGUUUUGUAUGAAAGUACAAACUAAACUGUCAAACCAGGAUUCUCCUGCUUUCAGGUGGGUUCGAAUUCACUAUUUUUUGAGCUGCUGUUUGUGCAUAUCUGGCUGUUGUUGCCCUGAUAUGUUCAGCAGAAUUCUCCACUGUGUUUGAAAACACAGUGAAGAUUUUCAGUCCUAAGAGCCUUUGUCUGAAAAGUUCACCAUCUCCACUGAUCAGUUCCAAACCUACUGUCUGCUUUUCUACUUAGGUAACACUUUGUACAAAUACUGUGAGCUGCAUCCCAUAACCUUAGGCUACCAGUGGAAUGCCAGCAACCAAAAAUAUUCUAAGCUCAGAUGAUGGUUUGUUUUGCAAUGUAAAGGAAAAUUCUAGCAAUUUAUUUCUAUUAAUACUCGUCUGCAAGAUGCUGCUCAGUGCUGAACUUGUCUUUUCUCUGCCCUAUGCCUCCCAGUCAUAUCAGCUAACACUUUGGUUUCCAUAAAGGUGAAAAAGGCAUACGUGCUCAUUCAAGUUGUUCAGUUUUCAUUUUAAGUGGCGAGAAGAGGCAUUCUUAACCUGCUGGGCAGCCUGCAGAACAGUCUUGUUUCUGACAACAGGCAAAUAAAAGUCCAGUGUUUCACAGAGAUCCACGUCUGACUUGGGCAAUACUUCCACUGGAAGAGCAACCUGAGUGAAGCUGCUGCACACUGCUUUUGUUUCUUUUCCAGCAGGGAGAGAAAAUUAAAAAAAGGUGAUCAUCGGAAAUCUCAAAUAUAUUCUACUACCAUUCUUUGCAACUGUCAAGGUAGAGCUGAGAGACUUCAGAAGAUAUUGUGCACCCACAAAAGCAGAACAGCUGGUUUUUUCCCCACAUAUAUGGGAUUCCAGCCUUCUGUAUGGAGACAGCCACAGAGAGAACCCGACCAGCAAAAGCUGCUGUGAAGUUCAGUGGGAACAACUGGGAAACCAGACUGCAGGGCUGUAUUUUUCUCCCCAGCAGAAGAUUGUAUCUCUGAUUUUUCAUGGCGUCAUGCGUGCACUCUGAGGACUGCAAACGGGACGCACUUUAUGGCGAAGCACUGAAACAUCAGCUUGUUUGUAGUUCAAGCUCUACAUUUUGUUCUAACUUUGAGUCAUGCAUCAUUACCCAUUUUCUCUUGCCAACUGUUAUUUUCUUCUCCAUGCCUGGUUCUCAAAAUGGGUAUUUAACCUUUUAAGAUACGACUACAAGAUAGAAUGUCAUUGAUUUAUAUGUUUUAAAAAACCCAACAAACUUUCGUCAACACUAUUUUAAA